This 441-nucleotide ribosomal RNA is filed under the name uncultured bacterium. RNAcentral's name for it is "bacterial SSU rRNA". It matches the Rfam family "Bacterial small subunit ribosomal RNA", at positions 958 to 1399 of the family's 1533-position model. The record is from RNAcentral.
AACGCGAAGAACCUUACCUGGGCUCGAAGCGUAGUGGACUGAGGUAGAAAUAUCUUUUCCCCGCAAGGGGCUGCUACGUAGGUGCUGCAUGGCUGUCGUCAGCUCGUGUCGUGAGAUGUUGGGUUAAGUCCCGCAACGAGCGCAACCCUUAUCUCCAGUUGCCAUCAUUCAGUUGGGCACUCUGGCGAAACCGCCUCGGAUAACGGGGAGGAAGGUGGGGAUGACGUCAAGUCCUCAUGGCCUUUAUGUCCAGGGCUACACACGUGCUACAAUGGCCGGUAUAAACCGCUGCAAACCCGCGAGGGGGAGCUAAUCGGAAAAAGCCGGCCUCAGUUCGGAUUGCAGUCUGCAACUCGACUGCAUGAAGCUGGAAUCGCUAGUAAUCGCAGAUCAGAAUGCUGCGGUGAAUACGUUCCCGGGCCUUGUACACACCGACUGUAC